CCCUUAGAUGUUCUGGGCUGCACGCGCGCUACACUGAUGCACUCAACGAGUUUAUAACCUUGCCCGGUAGGGUUGGGUAAUCUUUUGAAAGCGCAUCGUGAUGGGGAUAGAUUAUUGUAAUUAUUAAUCUUCAACGAGGAAUUCCUAGUAAGCGCUAGUCAUCAGCUAGUGCUGAUUACGUCCCUGCCCUUUGUGCACACCGCCCGUCGCUGCCUCCGAUUGAAUGAUCCGGUGAAGCGUUCGGACCGUGGCCUUUGGACGGUUCGCCGUCUGUUGGCUGCGGGAAGUUCGUUAAACCUUAUCAUUUAGAGGAAGGAGAAGUCGUAACA
This 329-nucleotide ribosomal RNA is filed under the name uncultured eukaryote. RNAcentral describes it as "partial 18S ribosomal RNA". It matches the Rfam family "Eukaryotic small subunit ribosomal RNA", at positions 1470 to 1796 of the family's 1831-position model. The record is from RNAcentral.